RNAcentral lists this ribosomal RNA (301 nucleotides) under uncultured bacterium. Its description in RNAcentral is "partial 16S ribosomal RNA". It matches the Rfam family "Bacterial small subunit ribosomal RNA", at positions 509 to 807 of the family's 1533-position model. The record is from RNAcentral.
CAGCAGCCGCGGUAAUACGAAGGGUGCAAGCGUUAAUCGGAAUUACUGGGCGUAAAGCGUGCGUAGGCGGUUUGUUAAGUCUGUGGUGAAAUCCCCGGGCUCAACCUGGGAAUGGCAAUGGAUACUGGCAAGCUAGAGUGUGUCAGAGGAUGGUGGAAUUCCCGGCGUAGCGGUGAAAUGCGUAGAGAUCGGGAGGAACAUCAGUGGCGAAGGCGGCCAUCUGGGACAACACUGACGCUGAGGCACGAAAGCGUGGGGAGCAAACAGGAUUAGAUACCCCCGUAGUCCCUGUCUCUUAUAC